GCAUAGGUUUUGACUUCCGGGCUCGUAGGGUAUAAAAACGGAUGCUUUGGCAGCACCAAGCCUUUCGGACGGAGUCUCGCCCUGUGUCUCCUCGCUGGUGAAUCUGCUCAGGAUUGCAAAUACUUUGAGGAGGAGAGGACCUACACGUGACUUCAAGAAGUUGGCACCCAACACCUAAGACGUGGAGCCUUUCUCUAGUUAGAGUUGGCAAAGUGGCUAAUAGUAAAUCAGUUAUUGGGUUGUCUGAAACAUUGUGACACAUCUUUGCAGCUGGUGGCGCUAGUUCCUUUUCAUCGGUAAAAAAGGGGUGAUUUGGUUGAGAUUUGGGGAUUGUAUGGGAUUGUUGGUAAAGUCGUGAAACAUUUUGUAUGGGAAAACAGUAUGACUUUCAGUGGCCUAAUGCAAGUUGAAGAUGGAAGGCCAAAGCACAUUUUUGCUGAAUUUUACUGUUACUGAAUGCAUCGAGUUAACUCCUGUUGCACAGCGCAAAGUUGCAGAAAACAUGGCAUUCCUUUCGUGAAGUGGCUAAUAGCUGGUGGUGAGAAGUGGGUAGUUGACAGCACUGGCCUGUUGGCUUUUUCUCCUCUUUCUGGUGAGCACCUAUUAAGGAAUAAAAUUCCUUUGAGGUAUACCUAGCAAAAUAGUGACUAUUGUAAUCCCUAGUGAAUUGUUUAUGAAUUGAAAUAAAGAGCUUACAUGAUUUUG
Tupaia belangeri chinensis (Chinese tree shrew) is the source of this 705-nucleotide long non-coding RNA. RefSeq lists it as uncharacterized. The transcript has 3 exons. NCBI's taxonomy places the organism in Eukaryota, Metazoa, Chordata, Mammalia, Scandentia, Tupaiidae. The record is from RefSeq and is a predicted model, not a curated record.